This 465-nucleotide ribosomal RNA is filed under the name Vreelandella stevensii. RNAcentral describes it as "partial 16S ribosomal RNA". It matches the Rfam family "Bacterial small subunit ribosomal RNA", at positions 338 to 795 of the family's 1533-position model. Lineage: Bacteria; Pseudomonadati; Pseudomonadota; Gammaproteobacteria; Oceanospirillales; Halomonadaceae. The record is from RNAcentral.
CCUACGGGCGGCAGCAGUGGGGAAUAUUGGACAAUGGGCGAAAGCCUGAUCCAGCCAUGCCGCGUGUGUGAAGAAGGCCUUCGGGUUGUAAAGCACUUUCAGUGGGGAAGAAAGCCUUGGGGCUAAUACCCUCGAGGAAGGACAUCACCCACAGAAGAAGCACCGGCUAACUCCGUGCCAGCAGCCGCGGUAAUACGGAGGGUGCGAGCGUUAAUCGGAAUUACUGGGCGUAAAGCGCGCGUAGGCGGUCUGAUAAGCCGGUUGUGAAAGCCCCGGGCUCAACCUGGGAACGGCAUCCGGAACUGUCAGGCUAGAGUGCAGGAGAGGAAGGUAGAAUUCCCGGUGUAGCGGUGAAAUGCGUAGAGAUCAGGAGGAAUACCAGUGGCGAAGGCGGCCUUCUGGACUGACACUGACGCUGAGGUGCGAAAGCGUGGGUAGCAAACAGGAUUAGAUACCCGUGUAGUC